UACGGAGGGUGCGAACGUUGUCCGGAUUUACUGGGCGUAAAGAGUAUGUAGGUGGCUCUAUAAGUGAGAGAUUAAAUACCAACGCUUAACGUUGGACCUGUUUCUCAUACUGUAGAGCUGGAGGAUGGCAGGGGUGCAUGGAACUUUGAGUGUAGGAGUGAUAUCCGUAGAUAUUCAAAGGAACACCAAUGGCGAAGGCAGUGCACUGGGCCAUAUCUGACACUGAGAUACGAAAGUGUGGGGAGCAAACGGG
Molecule: ribosomal RNA, 253 nt
Filed under: uncultured bacterium
Lineage: Bacteria
Description: partial 16S ribosomal RNA
Rfam family: Bacterial small subunit ribosomal RNA
Source: RNAcentral